GACGAACCACACAAACGUUAUUCGGAAUUACUGGGCUUAAAGGGUGCGCAGGCGGCCUGACAAGUUGGGUGUGAAAUACCUCGGCUCAACCGAGGAACGGCGCUCAAAACUGCCAGGCUAGAGGGAGAUAGAGGUGAGCGGAACUUAAGGUGGAGCGGUGAAAUGCGUUGAUAUCUUAAGGAACACCCGUGGCGAAAGCGGCUCACUGGAUCUCUUCUGACGCUCAGGCACGAAAGCUAGGGGAGCGAACGGG
RNAcentral lists this unclassified non-coding RNA (253 nucleotides) under uncultured Pirellulaceae bacterium. RNAcentral describes it as "contains 16S-23S intergenic spacer region". It matches the Rfam family "Bacterial small subunit ribosomal RNA", at positions 524 to 776 of the family's 1533-position model. The record is from RNAcentral. Lineage: Bacteria; Pseudomonadati; Planctomycetota; Planctomycetia; Pirellulales; Pirellulaceae.